AACCGAUCUGCAGCCAUGGGGGAAGGGUUUGGGGUUGUCUUCUUCCUUCUUUGAUUUCUCCAUGGUUAAGCCACCAAAUCUUCCACCCAAUAUACCAAUCUCAUAGGAAAUCGUCCAAGGAAGCUAUUCCACCCCUCCGUUUGAGCUGAUUUCGUGUGUGGAGAGAGAUACUGGUCAUCUCAUUUUCGUGCACUAUUCAUCCAAGGUGGAAAAAGUGAGUUUUUGAUGGAGCUUGGCUUGGAGGUUGCUUUCUAGGCUUUGGUAAGUUGAUUAAUGGUGUACCUAGGGACUAAAAAGGAAUCAGAAUCUCUUGAAGAUAUAUAAGUAACUUGUGCAACAAGUAAAGGUAUUGGUAAAGCUUCAAGAGGUGCCCAGAUUCCCGGUGAGUCCUCACUAGGCAGGGACGCGACACAUGGCUGAGGCAGUUGACGGAUCGGAUUUUGAGUGGCCGUAGGCUACUACCUUUUGGAAGUAUAUUCAUGUCGUUUUGUAUUUCCGCCUUUGAUGGAACAUGACAUUGAUCCUUUAUUCUGUAUAUGGCCUGUAUAUGUUUUGUACAUGUCUGUCAGUUUGAUGCAUGUACAUUUGAGUAUUCAGGAACGUUAUAUGAAUAUGUAGUAUUCAGAUAUGUAUACGUGUUGGAUUGCAUGCUGUUAGAUAUAGUGGCACUGAGCCAAGUUAUGCAUGCGCCCAUGGAUGGGCAUUUGAUUAUAUUUGUAUAAACUGUUUA
This is a long non-coding RNA of Gastrolobium bilobum, 730 nucleotides long. RefSeq lists it as uncharacterized. The record is from RefSeq and is a predicted model, not a curated record. The transcript is spliced from 3 exons. Lineage: Eukaryota; Viridiplantae; Streptophyta; Magnoliopsida; Fabales; Fabaceae.